ACGUGUCGUUUCGAUACAUUAGAACGACUCUCGGCAACGGAUAUCUCGGCUCUCGCAUCGAUGAAGAACGUAGCGAAAUGCGAUACUUGGUGUGAAUUGCAGAAUCCCGUGAACCAUCGAGUCUUUGAACGCAAGUUGCGCCCGAAGCCUUCGGGCCAAGGGC
RNAcentral lists this ribosomal RNA (163 nucleotides) under Persicaria filiformis. RNAcentral's name for it is "5.8S ribosomal RNA". The stretch from base 26 to 163 matches the Rfam family "5.8S ribosomal RNA", at positions 1 to 136 of the family's 154-position model. From Rfam's summary of the family: 5.8S ribosomal RNA (5.8S rRNA) is a component of the large subunit of the eukaryotic ribosome. Lineage: Eukaryota; Viridiplantae; Streptophyta; Magnoliopsida; Caryophyllales; Polygonaceae. The record is from RNAcentral.